Molecule: long non-coding RNA, 2941 nt
Filed under: Homo sapiens (human)
Lineage: Eukaryota; Metazoa; Chordata; Mammalia; Primates; Hominidae
Description: HSALNT0233029
Source: RNAcentral
AAGGUGUAUGUAUUUGUAGAAAACAAUAGAGAAAUGGACAAAAGUUUUAUAUACCACUCUUGAGUCUUAGAAAAAUUAAACAGAAAAAGAUAUAGAAGAUUUUAAUCUUAUAAUUAUUUGGGUUAAUUUAGUAGAGAAUCCAGAUAUGAUAAUCUGGAUUCUAUAGCCCAGGUAACAUUAUUUUCAAACAUUUAUUAGUAUUAAAAAUUACUUUAGGUCACUAAAAUAUAUUAAUAAAUUCACUAAGUAGGAAUUUAGAGGGCCAUAUUAUCUGAUCGUGAUUCAAAAAAACCUCAAUAUUGGUAACAAUAUAAGUAACAAAAGCAAAAAUCAUAAUCAUUUGGAAAUUAAAAAAAGAAAAAUAUAUUUUAAAUUACAUUUGUAAGUAAAACUAUAAUUUAAGACAACUUAGAAAAUAAUGAAAAUCAUAAUAGUAAAUAUUAACAUGUAUAAAACACACAAAAAUUGUCAUCUACUUUUUUAUCUGUAAUUUUCUUAAAAUAUAAGGGGUAAGGCUAAAGGUGUCCUUAGGCAAAUGAAUAGUCUUACAUUUUUUCAUUAUUAACUAAGAAAAACAAUAAAAGCAGGCAUUCAAGUCACAAAGUUAGAGAAACAAAACACAAGAGUGAAUUUGGGCUGGGCGAGAUGGGGCUCACGCCUGUAAUCCCAGCACUUUGGGAUGCCAAGGCAGGCAGACACCUUGAGUUCAGGAGUUCAAGACCAGCCUGGGCAACAUGGCAAGACCCUGUCUCUAAAAAACAAAAAAUAAAUAAAUAAAAUAAACAAUAAAUACAAAAAUUAGCUGGGUGUGGUGGUGCAUGCCUGUGGUCCCAGCUAUGUGGGAGGCUAAGGUGGGAGGAUUGCUUGAGCCCAGGAGGCAGCGGUUGCAGUGAGUUGAGGUCUGCACUCCAGUCUAGGUGACAGAGCCAGACAUGGUCUUAAAAAAAAAAAAAAAAAAAAAGUGAAUUCAAAAGAUUAGCUAAGACAAAUUGGGAAAAAAAACCAAAAGGGGAGUUGACCUAACAGAUAUUAAGAUGUAUUUCUAAAGCCAUAGCAGCUAAAAUAGUACAGUAUUAAUGUAGGGACAAACAGAGCAAUGAAGAAUAAAGAGACCAGCAGUAAACCCAAAUAUGUGAGAUGAUUUAGGGGAAGAACAGACUUUAUCAUUAAAGAUGAUGGUGCUCAUUAUCUUUGGAUUUACAAGAUUAUGAAUAAUUACACUUUAAAAAUAUUUUCCUUUUUUAAUAACAAUUAUGUGCUAUUUUCAUAAUGAGAAAAAUUCAACAAAUGUUCCUUAAAACUGGUAGAUCAACAUAAUAUGAACAAGGAACCACUUUCUCUGUUUGCUUCUGAAACCAGUUUGGCUCAGCGCAGUCUGCUAGUGUUUUCACACCUGCUGAAGUCAGUGGAGAGGAAGCCCUCGGGAAUUACAAGGGCAGCGUGAAGACAUCGGUGGAAAUAAAUUAGUCUCAUUAUCAUGGAAAAAAAAUCCAUGGGUUGCAUCUGUCUUGUUGAUUGCUGUAUCCCUGGUGCCUGGAAACUGGUUACUGUGGGACUAAAUAAAUAUUUGUUUAAUAAAUGAGCGAAGUGGCUUGGAUUUAUUUUUUUUUUCUGCUUCCGAGAGUUCUUUAGUUUUAACAAAAAGAAAAAAUCACACUUGUAAUCCUGGUCGUGAAUACUCACCUGCUUCGGAGUGGGGCUCGUAGGUUUGAAUUCGGGCCCCUCCCACCAUUUACUUACAGACACAGGCAGGAUUAGUGGCACUCCAGGGAGAAGGUUGUCUGGAGAAGACUGGUGGUCAGUCAGAACCUUGAACUCAAAGCCAACUUUCCCCAUGUUCGUCAGCGUGAUUUCCCUCUCUGUGACAUGGUCAAACAGCUUGAGAAGAGAAGGAGAAGAGUGACUCCAUCUUGGGAUGCGGCUUUGAUAGUGACAAAGGUGCAGAAACAUGCCUCAUGGAUAAGGGUGUGACAGCUCCUGAUAUAAAUACUGGUCAAUCUACAUCUCAGCAUCACAACAAAUGCCUACUGGGGCACUAGACUCUGGAAACCUGGCUCUUAGUUCUUCUAAGAACCGAUUCAGUUUAGGUAUGGCUGUGGGGCUGAGCAUUUCACCUUCCUGGGUCUCAGUUUUUUCACUACAGGAACUUGUAAUAGAGAAUCUUAAAGUAAGCUUUCUACAUUAAAAAGAUUUGCCUAGUAUUCCAUGGUGUAUAUGUGCCACAUUUUCUUAAUCCAGUCUAUCAUUGUUGGACAUUUGGGUUGGUUCCAAGUCUUUGCUAUUGUGAAUAGUGAGAAAGUAAGCUCGUAAGGCCCCAGCGAGAUGCAGCCAUAAAAAAUGAUGAGUUCAUGUCUUUGUGGGGACAUGGAUGAAGCUGGAAACCAUCAUUCUCAGCAAACUAUCGCAAGGACAAAAAAACCAAACACCGCAUGUUCUCACUCAUAGGUGGGAAUUGAACAAUGAGAACACUUGGACACAGGAAGGGGAACAUCACACACCAGGGCCUGUUGUGGGGUCGGGGGGAGGGGGGAGGGAUAGCAUUAGGCGAUAUACCUAAUGUAAAUGACAAGUUAAUGGGUGCAGCACACCAACAUGGCACAUGUAUACAUAUGCAACAAACCUGCACGUUGUGCACAUAUACCCUAGAACUUAAAGUAUAAUAAAAAGAAUUAAAAUAAAUAAAUUAAAAAAAAAAAGAUUUGCCUUCUGGAUUCUGUCCUGUAAGAAAAACAAAAGAUUUGAGUUUAGAAUGUUCUAGAAUGAACUUUUCCAUUCAAAUGGAGAACCAUGGGUGUAACAGGCCAGUCAUGUUCUUUUUCCUGGAAUUUUGCUAACAUAAUUCACCAGCUGGGUUAGCAGGCCCAAUAACCACAAACAGGCCACUUUGGGGGUCCUUAGGAAAAGCUAGGGUGAGGUCUGACUGCUUCAAAGACUAUACUCA